GGAGCUUGCUCCAAAGUUAGUGGCGAACGGGUGAGUAACAUAUCGGAACAUGUCCGGAAGUGGGGGAUAACGUAGCGAAAGUUACGCUAAUACCGCAUAUGCCCUGAGGGGGAAAGGGGGGGAUCGCAAGACCUCUCGCUUUCGGAGUGGCCGAUAUCGGAUUAGCUAGUAGGUGAGGUAAAGGCUCACCUAGGCGACGAUCCGUAGCUGGUCUGAGAGGACGACCAGCCACACUGGAACUGAGACACGGUCCAGACUCCUACGGGAGGCAGCAGUGGGGAAUUUUGGACAAUGGGCGCAAGCCUGAUCCAGCCAUACCGCGUGAGUGAAGAAGGCCUUCGGGUUGUAAAGCUCUUUCAGCCGGAAAGAAAUCGCACUUCUUAAUACGAAAUGUGGAUGACGGUACCGGAAGAAGAAGCACCGGCUAACUACGUGCCAGCAGCCGCGGUAAUACGUAAGGUGCGAGCGUUAAUCGGAAUUACUGGGCGUAAAGCGUGCGCAAGCGGCUUUUUAAGCCAGAUGUGAAAUCCCCGGGCUUAACCUGGGAAACUGCAUUUUGGAACUGGAAGGCUAGAGUG
RNAcentral lists this ribosomal RNA (578 nucleotides) under uncultured bacterium. RNAcentral's name for it is "bacterial SSU rRNA". It matches the Rfam family "Bacterial small subunit ribosomal RNA", at positions 75 to 648 of the family's 1533-position model. The record is from RNAcentral.